GACGAACGCUGGCGGCGUGCUUAACACAUGCAAGUCGAACGGAAAGGCCCUGCUUUUGUGGGGUGCUCGAGUGGCGAACGGGUGAGUAACACGUGAGUAACCUGCCCUUGACUUUGGGAUAACUUCAGGAAACUGGGGCUAAUACCGGAUAGGAGCUCCUGCUGCAUGGUGGGGGUUGGAAAGUUUCGGCGGUUGGGGAUGGACUCGCGGCUUAUCAGCUUGUUGGUGGGGUAGUGGCUUACCAAGGCUUUGACGGGUAGCCGGCCUGAGAGGGUGACCGCCCACUUUGGGACUGAGAUGCGGCCGAGACUCCUGCGGGGGACAGCAGGGGGGAAUUUUGCAAAAUGGGCGGAAGCCUGAUGCAGCAGCGCCGCGGGCGGGAUGACGGCUUUCGGUUUGUAAACCGUUUUCGCCUGUGACGAACUGUGAGUGACGGUAGUGGGUAAAGAAGCACCGGCUAACUACGUG
This 468-nucleotide ribosomal RNA is filed under the name uncultured bacterium. RNAcentral's name for it is "partial 16S ribosomal RNA". It matches the Rfam family "Bacterial small subunit ribosomal RNA", at positions 28 to 507 of the family's 1533-position model. The record is from RNAcentral.